This 68-nucleotide transfer RNA is filed under the name Synendotendipes sp. RNAcentral describes it as "tRNA-Leu". The record is from RNAcentral. Lineage: Eukaryota; Metazoa; Arthropoda; Insecta; Diptera; Chironomidae.
ACUAUUUUGACAGAUAAGUGUAUUAAAUUUAGAAUUUAAGAAUAUAGAAUAAAUUUCUAUAAAUAGUA